Molecule: ribosomal RNA, 301 nt
Filed under: uncultured bacterium
Lineage: Bacteria
Description: bacterial SSU rRNA
Rfam family: Bacterial small subunit ribosomal RNA
Source: RNAcentral
CCCUACGGGAGGCAGCAGUGAGGAAUAUUGGUCAAUGGGCGGGGGCCUGAACCAGCCAAGUCGCGUGAGGGAAGACGGUCCUAUGGAUUGUAAACCUCUUUAGGCGGGGAGCAAUGCCGGGCACGCGUGCCCGGAGGGAGAGUACCCGCAGAAUAAGCAUCGGCUAACUCCGUGCCAGCAGCCGCGGUAAUACGGAGGAUGCGAGGGUUAUCCGGAUUUAUUGGGUUUAAAGGGUGCGUAGGCGGCAUGCCAAGUCAGCGGUAAAAUCGCGGGGCUCAACAUCGCUCCGCCGUUGAAACUG